This is a non-coding RNA of Misgurnus anguillicaudatus (oriental weatherfish), 402 nucleotides long. NCBI's taxonomy places the organism in Eukaryota, Metazoa, Chordata, Actinopteri, Cypriniformes, Cobitidae. The record is from RefSeq and is a predicted model, not a curated record.
GCGUCUCUCCUCCUCAGAUCAUCAAUCUCCUGCUCCAGUCGCUUCAAGAGUCCUUCAGCUUCACUCACUGCAGUCUUUUCCUGAUCUCUGAUCAGCUGUGUCACCUCAGAUCGUCUUCUCUCAAUGGAUGUGAUCAACGUCACACUCCACAUCUCCAGGUCCAGCAUAACUGGGAGAAGGUCGACCAAUCUGGAGUCUUGUAUUCUUCAGCAUCUCCACCAUCUGAGCAAACACCACAUUCUUAUUUAAAACAGGUCUUGUAGUGAAGGUCUGUCUGCAUUGAGGGCAGCUGUAGUCUCUCUUCUGAUCAUCUUGAUCCCAGCAGUCUGUAAUACAGCUCAUACAGUAACUGUGUCCACAGGGAAUGGUCACUGGAUCCUUCAGUAGAUCCAGACAUACUGA